UACGAACUGUGCAAACGUUAUUCGGAAUCACUGGGCUUAAAGGGUGCGUAGGCGGCUUGUUAAGUAGGGUGUGAAAUCCCCCGGCUCAACCGGGGAAUUGCGCCCUAAACUGGCGAGCUGGAGUGAGAUAGGGGUGUGUGGAACUUCCAGUGGAGCGGUGAAAUGCGUAGAGAUCGGAAAGAACACCAACGGCGAAAGCACUCUGCUGGGCCGACACUGACACUGAGAGACGAAAGCUAGGGGAGCGAAUGGG
RNAcentral lists this ribosomal RNA (253 nucleotides) under uncultured bacterium. RNAcentral describes it as "partial 16S ribosomal RNA". It matches the Rfam family "Bacterial small subunit ribosomal RNA", at positions 524 to 776 of the family's 1533-position model. The record is from RNAcentral.